AGCGCGGGAGCAAUCCUGGCGGCGAGUGGCGAACGGGUGAGUAAUAUAUCGGAACGUACCUUUCAGUGGGGGAUAACGUAGCGAAAGUUACGCUAAUACCGCAUAUUCUGUGCGCAGGAAAGCAGGGGAUCGCAAGACCUUGCGCUGAUUGAGCGGCCGAUAUCAGAUUAGCUAGUUGGUGAGGUAAAGGCUCACCAAGGCGACGAUCUGUAGCGGGUCUGAGAGGAUGAUCCGCCACACUGGAACUGAGACACGGUCCAGACUCCUACGGGAGGCAGCAGUGGGGAAUUUUGGACAAUGGGGGCAACCCUGAUCCAGCCAUUCCGCGUGAGUGAAGAAGGCCUUCGGGUUGUAAAGCUCUUUCAGCUGGAACGAAACGGUGAGGUCUAAUACGCCUUACUAAUGACGGUACCUGAAGAAGAAGCACCGGCUAACUACGUGCCAGCAGCCGCGGUAAUACGUAGGGUGCGAGCGUUAAUCGGAAUUACUGGGCGUAAAGCGUGCGCAGGCGGUUUUGUAAGUCAGAUGUAAAAGCCCCGGGCUUAACCUGGGAAUUGCGUUUAAAACUACAAGGCUAGAGUGUGUCAGAGGGGGGUAGAAUUCCACGUGUAGCAGUGAAAUGCGUAGAGAUGUGGAGGAAUACCGAUGGCGAAGGCAGCCCCCUGGGAUAACACUGACGCUCAUGCACGAAAGCGUGGGGAGCAAACAGGAUUAGAUACCCUGGUAGUCCACGCCCUAAACGAUGUCAACUAGUUGUCGGGAGGGUAACCCUCUUGGUAACGCAGCUAACGCGUGAAGUUGACCGCCUGGGGAGUACG
This 818-nucleotide ribosomal RNA is filed under the name uncultured bacterium. Its description in RNAcentral is "bacterial SSU rRNA". It matches the Rfam family "Bacterial small subunit ribosomal RNA", at positions 71 to 884 of the family's 1533-position model. The record is from RNAcentral.